Molecule: ribosomal RNA, 253 nt
Filed under: uncultured bacterium
Lineage: Bacteria
Description: partial 16S ribosomal RNA
Rfam family: Bacterial small subunit ribosomal RNA
Source: RNAcentral
UACGUAGGGGGCUAGCGUUGUCCGGAUUUAUUGGGCGUAAAGAGCGUGUAGGCGGCCAGGUAGGUCCGGUGUGAAAACUCGAGGCUUAACCUCGAGAUGUCAUCGGAAACCAUCUGGCUAGAGUCCGGAAGAGGAAAGUGGAAUUCCUGGUGUAGCGGUGAAAUGCGCAGAUAUCGGGAAGAACACCCGUGGCGAAGGCGGUUCUCUGGGACGGUACUGACGCUGAGACGCGAAAGCGUGGGGAGCGAACAGG